This 497-nucleotide ribosomal RNA is filed under the name uncultured bacterium. Its description in RNAcentral is "partial 16S ribosomal RNA". It matches the Rfam family "Bacterial small subunit ribosomal RNA", at positions 28 to 507 of the family's 1533-position model. The record is from RNAcentral.
GAUGAACGCUGGCGGCGUGCCUAAUACAUGCAAGUCGAGCGAACAGAUAAGGAGCUUGCUCCUUUGACGUUAGCGGCGGACGGGUGAGUAACACGUGGGUAACCUACCUAUAAGACUGGGAUAACUUCGGGAAACCGGAGCUAAUACCGGAUAAUAUUUCGAACCGCAUGGUUCGAUAGUGAAAGAUGGUUUUGCUAUCACUUAUAGAUGGACCCGCGCCGUAUUAGCUAGUUGGUAAGGUAACGGCUUACCAAGGCGACGAUACGUAGCCGACCUGAGAGGGUGAUCGGCCACACUGGAGCUGAGACACGGUCCAGACGCCUACGGGAGGCAGCAGUAGGGAAUCUUCCGCAAUGGGCGAAACCCUGACGGAGCAACGCCGCGUGAGUGAUGAAGGUCUUCGGAUCGUAAAACUCUGUUAUUAGGGAAGAACAUACGUGUAAGUAACUGUGCACGUCUUGACGGUACCUAAUCAGAAAGCCACGGCUAACUACGUG